Molecule: unclassified non-coding RNA, 348 nt
Filed under: soil metagenome
Description: partial contains 5.8S ribosomal RNA, internal transcribed spacer 2, and large subunit ribosomal RNA
Rfam family: 5.8S ribosomal RNA (bases 1-120)
Source: RNAcentral
GAUGAAGAACGCAGCAAAAUGCGAUAAGUAAUGUGAAUUGCAGAAUUCAGUGAAUCAUCGAAUCUUUGAACGCACAUUGCGCCCGCUGGUAUUCCGGCGGGCAUGUCUGUUCGAGCGUCAUUUCAACCCUCAAGCCCCCGGGUUUGGUGUUGGGGAUCGGCUCUGCCCUUCUGGGCGGUGCCGCCCCCGAAAUACAUUGGCGGUCUCGCUGCAGCCUCCAUUGCGUAGUAGCUAACACCUCGCAACUGGAACGCGGCGCGGCCAUGCCGUAAAACCCCAACUUCUGAAUGUUGACCUCGGAUCAGGUAGGAAUACCCGCUGAACUUAAGCAUAUCAAUAAGCGGAGGA